UCCAGCUCAUCCACCGUUAUCAUGUUGCAAAGUUCCAGCAGCCACAUCAGCAGCUCCCCAGAAAGGGAAGGGGAUCACCAACCCAUAAGCAGCACACCAAUGAAGUAGGCGGAUGUUGUUGAAGGCCAGCAGGAUGGCAGGAUACUUCAGGCACGAAACUACAAGACUCUUCAACAGUUAUGUCUAAAACCCAGACAGAAUAAGGAUGCCAUGAAACAGAUCCUUGACCUCGAGUUUGAGGGAAGAAGGGCAUUUAUUGAUUCAGAUACGCUGAAGGAAUGUGACCGGCCGGCAAAAAUUCUCGACGCAUUCCCAUGCUUCAAAGAUAUCGAACAUGUCCUAGAGGAACUUAGACGAAUUUUGGACAACAGCAACCCAAACUAUGUGGCAGAGAUGCAACAGCGGUUGCUUGAAUUUAAAACUAAAGCAACUUUUUAUGGGGUGUUCAAGAAGGUC
Molecule: long non-coding RNA, 456 nt
Organism: Osmerus eperlanus (European smelt)
Lineage: Eukaryota; Metazoa; Chordata; Actinopteri; Osmeriformes; Osmeridae
Exons: 3
Source: RefSeq, a predicted model, not a curated record